Molecule: ribosomal RNA, 253 nt
Filed under: uncultured bacterium
Lineage: Bacteria
Description: partial 16S ribosomal RNA
Rfam family: Bacterial small subunit ribosomal RNA
Source: RNAcentral
UACGUAGGGCGCAAGCGUUAUCCGGAAUUAUUGGGCGUAAAGAGCUCGUAGGCGGUUUGUCGCGUCUGCCGUGAAAGUCCGGGGCUCAACUCCGGAUCUGCGGUGGGUACGGGCAGACUAGAGUGAUGUAGGGGAGACUGGAAUUCCUGGUGUAGCGGUGAAAUGCGCAGAUACCAGGAGGAACACCGAUGGCGAAGGCAGGUCUCUGGGCAUUAACUGACGCUGAGGAGCGAAAGCAUGGGGAGCGAACAGG